RNAcentral lists this long non-coding RNA (5580 nucleotides) under Sus scrofa (pig). RNAcentral's name for it is "lncRNA (ENSSSCG00055001236.1)". The record is from RNAcentral. Lineage: Eukaryota; Metazoa; Chordata; Mammalia; Artiodactyla; Suidae.
GGAGAACGAGACGGUGCCAGGCAAUACGGAGUCCACACAGCAGUGGGCCUGCAGUGCCAGCCCUGCCCUGGACACAGCUCUCAUCAGAUUCUGCAGAGGUGCUAGGAACACCAUCCUUGGUAAAGUGCUUUGGGCUGACCUGUCAAUCUGAAAGGAACAUUCGUGAUUAUACAACAGGACAGAGAAGCCAUCCGUGGCUGAAUGCUGAUGCUCCCUCCUGAUGGCAGUCACCCCGUGAUUUGGUUAAACUGUCACCUGAAACCCUGAAGAGACUGGACUUGAGGCUCUCCUUCAUGGAAUUAUUAUUCAGAAACAAAGACUGCUCCCUUAAGUUCUCUUCUGCCUAUAGCUAAUUAUACUUCUUUAAGUGCCUGGAUCAUGCCCUGAUAUGGUCUAACCGGUAUAUUUGGGAAGAACCUGGGACUCCAUGCAUAUCCUAAGUGUGCGGCUUACUAAAAAGGCAAUGCCAUACUGCCACACUUAUGUCUGGAAGAGAGGUGAGCUCAAUAUGUUCCUGACCCACGUUUCUCUCUUGGGUAUCAUUCUGAAUACACCAGCACAUCUAGACACGAUAUGCUAAAGCCAAGAUGCUACCGGCAUACCAAUGAGUCAUGCUCAUUCCUAUUUCCUUCUGUUUCCUGUCAGUCAAGAACAUCCUGAGUGAGAGAGUUCCUACUACUGAGAUGGGAAGGAAGAAAGAAGGAAGGUAGAAAGAAGCAUAUUGUGACAAAGCUUUCUGUCUUAUUUCUCCUUUGCUUAGAAGUACAGUGAAGAACCUGAUACUCAUUCUUAGGUGUUUCAUUCGGUCAAAGCUGGACUAUGAAAUGGGCCUAACAGAAACCACGGAUUAGUUAAUAAGUGUAUCUGUUAAAUGAAGAAUGAGACAUUAUAAUUAAGGAUAGCUCUUUCUCAGAUAGCAAUUCCUUCUAAUACCGUCCGCAAAGCUAUUAAAUAUUUCUAAGAGUAGAAUGCAAAAUUAUAAAGAUGCUUUGGGCACAAUAAAUUUUUAAUCCCCUAUCUUUAUGACAAUUUUUCUAAAACCCAAACUGGCACAUUCAAGAUCCAUUUUAAUAAUUUAAAAAUUGUAUACUCUGUCAAUAUAAAGAAGGCUGACAAUUUCCUAACACAAAAGGAAAUCUACUGAAAAAAAGUCACUAAAAUACAUACCAAUGGCUGUAAGCAUUUUUAUAUAUUUAAAAGCCCUGUUUUGCUCCCCCCCACCCCCCACAUGAUGUGAUGCAAUCAGCAUUGAAUUACAAUGCUGUCUUAUACAAUCUAAGUAGAAAUCUGAUACUCACAAUGAUAAAAUUUACAUCCUUUCUGAAAGCAAGUCAUAUUUAGCUUACUUAUCAACUUCAUUAUUAGUAAAGAAAAACAAAAGUCCAGGAUAAAAGAUGACCCAUGGUGAUGUCUUGGCCCCUUAUUCUUCCUUUACUUCUGAAAAGCAGUAGCAGUGUUUGGUUUCUUAAAGACAGAGAUUAGCAUGAGAGUUUUUAUAUUUGACAAUGUGGAGAAAAGUAAAUACAGUGUAUAAUUUUGUAGGAGAAUAACUGUUGGGCAAGACAGAGGCGAACAGUCUGAUAUGAACCAGCAAUGAAAAAAGUUCUUUUUCUCUGAAUAUCAGAGGGAAAACAGUUCAGAAAUUGAAACGAGAGAAGGUAAACAGAGAUUCGCCUUGUAGGAAUGUGCAGAAAGGAAUAAAGUGAAGUCACUGUUUUUAGCAUAUUUUCAACCCAUCACAAUCAUACAUGGAUACUUAUAUUUAGAGAAAAAUGCCCAGUAACAAAUUUUCUUCCCCGGAAUGGAAGAGAAGUUUCCUGCAUUAAAUAUUGGCUCAGCUACUUCAAAGCAUUAAAAACAUAAACAAAACCUCAGAGAAUUAGAUUUGGCUAAAACUAUCUGUCACAUUACCCUAAUGAGUGAGCAUGUGAUUGACGAGGAGGCUGUAGUUUGGCAUGGUGGCCAGACUACUCCAUUCUGAGCCUUUUUAACUCCACCUAAUGGCCCCCACAAGGCAGGUGGACACCCCUCCAAGGGGAGGCAACUGAGUGACACACAGAAGCAGAAUCUGUGCCUCUCAUCAGAUCUGUGCAUCCAGAAUCCGAGCAUCUCUCUUUUGAAAUGAAUAUUAGAAAGUCUGUCUUAAGAUGAUAGCAGCAGGGAAAUUCCAAAUCAAAGUAGUCACUGUGGCCUUAACUCACCCGAUUAGGUCGACUAUUACCUCAUCUGCUGCAAAAGAUCAUACUUUGUGCUCAGGCCAAUGUGACUUUUAAACAUACGAAGCUGAAGGAAGUGUCUAUACCAUUCAACCUCAGUUCUCCCUACCCUGUCUUUUUUUGUUUGAAAGUCUCCUUAGAGGGAGGCUCUUAGCAAUGCUAAGACAGUUACGGUGGUACACUUUCCUCUCGUUGACCUCUACCUGAGGAUGAGGAUAAAUAUGAUGACUCAUUAUAUUUACAGAGCAUUUUACAAUUUUCAAAAUGUCUGGUGUGGGUUUCUAUACUUUGACUCUCAGUUAAUCUACUCAAUGACAUGGAUGGGUCCAGUUUAAGCCAGAUCCUAGGAAGAGAGUAACUGAUUUGCUCAAAGUCAUGUGGGUAGUGACUGGUAGAGCUGGGCCCUGAUCUGGGCCUAGACGCCAGAUUUCAGGGAAGAAAAUGGUUAUAUUUCAACAUGGACCCAAGUUUUUAGUUUAAUCCUCUAUGAUACUUAGUCCACUGAGUCCUUAUGCUAAGGAAGAUGGGAGAUCACCCAGAACUUUGUGUUGGUAAUGUCUGUUUAGUUCACGCAGUGAUUCACAAAGGGAGGAAAAAUCAGAAAAAUGUACUUUCAGUAUGAACCUUUCUAAUGAUCUUAGCGAUUGACUUUAGUGCCCUUCGAAGGUUUAAGGCCAAACACGUGAUACUCUUUGUUUUUAGGUUAUUAUUUUUGAAUUUAUCAAGAUUGAAUUCAAAACUUGGCAUUCAAAAAUCUGACUAAUUCAUGAAGAAAUAACAUAUUUGUGUUCUGCUGGUAUGGGUAAGGAAACCGAUAUGAUUCAUUUUAGUAACUAAAUCUGUUUGUAAAAACCAAAAAAAGUCAUAAUUUUCAAACUGUGUGAAGCAAGGCAGAAUCAUUUGUUUCCCAACAAAUGGUACCAGUUUACAAGGCUGUUUUCUCUUCCGCAUGUGGAGAUUUUCACAUAGACUGUUAAAUAUAACUGACUGAGUUGAUUUGGAAAAUACCAAGAAAACCAUAUACUGUACAGCUCAAAUGACUGGAGCUAACAAAAACAAACAAACCCUCCCUGGCCCCCAGAAAUGUAAAUAAAAAGUUAGAUUUCCCUGUACUACAUUUGAUUGCAUUAAUUGAUGUUUAAAAAAAAAUCCGUUGAAAAUAAAGCCCAGCAGUAGCAUUUUUCUUUCCUAAAUCACAAUAGCAGCACAUUACAAACAUUACCAAAAGGUCCCCUGGCACGUUUGUAAAGUUCCACUCUGGCAGUAAAAUGCAUCUACUGAGUGUUCUCCAUUUCCAUCUCUACCCUCCCAAAUAUGUAGGAAAGCAGGUCACAAAUGCAAUUAAGCCUCCUUGCAGGUUGUUUAAAUAUUCAUUUCCAAUGAGGACUCAGAAACUGAAUGGUCAGCCACGGAAUCCUUUUUAAUUUAUUAAAAAACCCUAAUCUUGUUCUAAAACAGGGUUUGACCGCUGAUAGCAGGCAGAUCAUUAGGACUGAAUGUAAUCGGCUGUGUUUCCAAAAUCCUGACAAGUGAGGCAUGCGCUUUGGUGAGCCUAGCCUAUUAGCAGACACAGACCUCCACCAGCAGCUUCGGGGGGCUUACAUAGCAGUGGACAGGACAGACAGUGUUAAUAACAGUCAUCGGGGACAUCAUCUAUAAAACCUCUCCUCUCAUGCGCCAUGGGGGAGUGAUUUUAAAAACCUGGGCUUUGGAAUCACUUGGUGGUAGUUGGUGGGAUGCCCAACCCUAACCCCUACAUCGUAAACCAAACCAUCCGGCCAGUUGGGGCUAUCGAGGACCACAUCCAGGGCUGAGAAGUGGGACUCAGGGGAGAGAAUCUACAGCCAGCGUUCAGCAUCUGCCUCUGAUAAGUGCUCUGUAAGUAUCAGUUAUUUUUGGUAUUAUGCAUGAAACAAACUUUUGCUGCGUUUGCGUUUGUUAAUGUAUCUCCUAUCAAGAGUUUUUACUCUUUAGAGUUGAUUUAUUGACACUGUUCCUCUAUAAUUCUCCCCUUUGUCUCCACAGAAGGUGUUUUUUCCUCCUCAUCAGCUCUGUUGGCUGCCCCAGGUUUUGCCCAACUUGACAGUGAGAACUGAGACUGGCAGCACGCAGCUGGUGGGGUGGGGCGAGGGGGUGUCCUUGCUCCAAGAGACGGAGUGAGGCUGCAGGAGCUCUAGUGGCACUGGUCAGGCUCCCACACCUGUGGGAUGCUUUGGGCAGAUCCAGCAGAGACCUUUUUUUUUCAGGCUUUCAACUGAACCCAGACAUUCAGCAAGAAAUCUUCCUAGCACAUGGUAAUGGUAAACUUUGAAACAAUGUCUAGAGGAUGCUAAUGCUGUUACAUUAUCCACUUUUGCAAAGUUCGAUCUCUCCAGGCACUGCCCUAAAAAAACUGGUUAAUUUUUUUCUCCUUCAUCAUCCUUGUCUCCUCAACCCAACUGUGUGUGUGUGUGUGUGUGUGCGUGCGUGCGUGCGUGCAUGCACGCGCGCCUGUGUGUGUAGAGGGGAUCGGAAGUAAUGUUUAGAUAAUCUAUCUGUGUUGGUUGGGAUGACACAGAAAAUUAGUGCAGAAAUGAGAAGAGUGGUACAGCUUAAGUGGAAAAGAACUGUCACACCGUUUCCUGUACCUCAGACCUUAAGCCCUGGCCAAGUCUCUUCCCCUCACUCAGAAUUCAUUUCUCUCAAUUCCUACCAUACUUUAUAGGACUCUUAGGGUAUUCAGCGCAUUCUUCCUUACAGCAUAAAUACGUAUCUUAUUUCCCCUAGAAAAAGAAGAGAAAGGUAGGCAGAGAUAGAGGGAGGGAGGAGGGAGGGAGGAGACAUUGGGAAGCCACUGUGCCCUAGGGAUGUUUUACCUGUGGAUUGGGAAGGUGUAUGAAAUGUUUUUGUUUGUUUUUUGUUUGUUUUGUUUUUUUGUUUUUUGCAUUCCCAAACAACUCGACAUGUAACCAAAGAGAUCUUUUCAAGUUUAUACCAUUCUUCUACCAGUGACAUGCCUCUUGCCUAGUUUUCUUACCUCUGAUCAGCCCCUCGAAUUUAAAAAUAAAAGCAGGAGUUACUGUUGUGGCUCAGUGGGUUAAGAACCUGACUAGUAUCCAUGAGGAUGUGGGUUCAAUACCCAGCCUCACUCAGUAGGCUAAGGAUCCGGCAUUGCCCUGAGCUGCAGUGUAGGUCGAGGACCCAGGCUGGAUCCUGCAUUGCUAUGGCUGUGGUGUAGGCUGGCAGCUGCAGCUCCAAUUCGAUCCCUAGGCUGGGGAUUUUCAUAUGCUGCAGGUGUGGCUGUAAAAAUAAAAAUAAAAGCAAUUGUGUUUAGCCCCAUCCCCUUUAUUUAUUUCUAUCAAAAAAAAAAAAAAAAAAAAAAAAA